RNAcentral lists this ribosomal RNA (197 nucleotides) under uncultured bacterium. Its description in RNAcentral is "partial 16S ribosomal RNA". It matches the Rfam family "Bacterial small subunit ribosomal RNA", at positions 328 to 539 of the family's 1533-position model. The record is from RNAcentral.
ACGCUCGACACCUAGGAGGCAGCAGUCGGGAAUAUUGCGCAAUGGAGGAAACUCUGACGCAGUGACGCCGCGUAUAGGAAGAAGGUUUUCGGAUUGUAAACUAUUGUCGUUAGGGAAGAGAAAGGACAGUACCUAAGGAGGAAGCUCCGGCUAACUACGUGCCGGCAGCCGCGGUAAUCUGAGCGGGCUGGCAAGGC